CCCUAAUAAUAGAUUUUUCUCAAUACAUAAAAUUCCGCCAGAGCAANUACUAUUCAUACAUUNGAAGCUCAGGGGUUUNGGUGGUUUCUCAACCCCAACUAGAGGANCCUGUUCUAUAUUCGAUACUCCACGAUCUACCUCACCACCCAUANCCCAUNCAGUAUAUAUNCCUCCUUCUCCAGCCUUCUCUUUGGGNGGAUAAUAAGUAAGGACCACAGCCANCACACUCACAAGUGAGCUCAAGGUGUNCCCCNUGGGGUGGNAGAAGUGGGCNACAUUUUCUCCCAUAGAAAUACACUUUAACGGAAGGGACCUUGAAACAAGACCCAACAAGCAGGAUUUAGCAGCAAUGUGAGAACAGAGAGCCCACAUUAAUCAGGAUCUGAGAU
This 389-nucleotide ribosomal RNA is filed under the name Platemys platycephala. Its description in RNAcentral is "partial 12S rRNA". Lineage: Eukaryota; Metazoa; Chordata; Testudines; Chelidae. The record is from RNAcentral.